Molecule: ribosomal RNA, 459 nt
Filed under: uncultured Treponema sp.
Lineage: Bacteria; Pseudomonadati; Spirochaetota; Spirochaetia; Treponematales; Treponemataceae
Description: partial 16S ribosomal RNA
Rfam family: Bacterial small subunit ribosomal RNA
Source: RNAcentral
ACGGGAGGCAGCAGCUAAGAAUAUUCCGCAAUGGACGAAAGUCUGACGGAGCGACGCCGCGUGGAUGAUGAAGGUCGGAAGAUUGUAAAAUCCUUUUAUAACUGAGGAAUAAAGCGGGUAGGGAAUGACCUGCAGGUGACUGUAGUGCAUGAAUAAGCAACGGCUAAUUACGUGCCAGCAGCCGCGGUAACACGUAAGUUGCGAGCGUUGUUCGGAAUUAUUGGGCGUAAAGGGCAUGUAGGCGGUUAUGCAAGUCUGGUGUGAAAGGCAGGAGCUCAACUCCUGGACUGCGCCGGAAACUGUAAAACUAGAGUGACUGAGGAGCAAUCAGAAUUCCAGGUGUAGGGGUGAAAUCUGUGGAUAUCUGGAAGAAUACCAAUGGCGAAGGCAGGUUGCUAGCAGAUGACUGACGCUGAGGUGCGAAGGUGCGGGGAGCAAACAGGAUUAGAUACCCUGGUA